GCCCGCCUAGCCCAACUGGCAGAGGCGUCCGCUUCAGCAGCGGAAGGUUCCGAGUUCAACUCUCGGGGUGGGCA
Molecule: transfer RNA, 74 nt
Filed under: Frigoribacterium sp. SL97
Lineage: Bacteria; Bacillati; Actinomycetota; Actinomycetes; Micrococcales; Microbacteriaceae
Description: tRNA-Leu
Source: RNAcentral